AUGGAGUUGGUUGAGCUACGCACAACAUCUUUGGCUGAGGCAAUGUUUGACAAGCUUGGGCUCCCAAAAACAGUCUACUAUGUGCGUUUGCUUGAGCAAGGUGGAUAUAGAUCACAGAUUGAAUUUCACCGCACAAAAGAGCGUUAUGAUGCUUCAGCGCCCCGCACUAAAUUGUUCAGCCAUAUAUGUGUAAGCGGGGAGGCAGCAAUGGACCAUGCAGCUAACCUAGCCAUUGGAUACAUGGAAAGCUAUGGAAGAAAGGUUCUUGUUGAUUAUAACUACCAUCGGCUGCAGCAAGAAAAACAAGCUUACGCAAAACUUUCAGACAGGUUGUCAGAAACAACAGAAGAAAUCAAUCAGCGCAAUCAAACCAUCAAACAGGUGACUAGAGAAGCAUCCAAUUAUCUAGAAGAAGUGCAUGUUGCAUCAAACAAAAUCCACACCCUUGCUGAUGCUGCCUUAGACCCUGCUGCCGGCCUCUCUCUUUCCACUCUAAAACAAGCUAUUCUACAAAUUCAAAAUGCAACUGUUGCUCUCCAGAGCACUACAGCCGCUGCACGUAUUUCACGAGGAAAAGGGCAUAUACUCAGAGGAUAA
RNAcentral lists this ribosomal RNA (597 nucleotides) under Triticum aestivum (bread wheat). Its description in RNAcentral is "partial small subunit ribosomal RNA". Lineage: Eukaryota; Viridiplantae; Streptophyta; Magnoliopsida; Poales; Poaceae. The record is from RNAcentral.